CUUAUAAGUAGAGGAGAGGACACACAGAGACAUGGGAAGAAGGCCAUGUGACAAUGGAGGCAGAGAUUGGAGCGAUGCAGCUACAAGCCAAGGACCACUGAGGAUUGUCGGGAGCCACCGGAAGUUAGGAAGAGGCGAGAAGGAUCCUCCUCUGGAGCCUUUAGAGGGAGCCUGGCUCUGCCAACACCUUGAUUUUGGACUUCUAAACUCCAGGAGCGUGAGAGAACACAUUUCUGCUGUUCUAACUGACCUAGUUUGGGGUGAUUUGUUAUGACAGCCCUAGGAAGGUCCUAUAGGAGAAUUUGUGAGGCAGCAGAGGAUAACAGAUACAGUUAUGUAACCAAAUUACUCUUAUACUGUACUCAUUGACGUUUCAGUGGAUAAGCAUGUGAAACAACACUUGUUUCUUUGGGCUGUUUUUCUGUGUUUUUGGCGAUUUUGCAAAAUUUUAUCUGGUACUGCCUUCUUCAUCAGGACAAGAGGGCUCAGAUGGGCUAAGACGUGAGACACCGGGAUGCAUAAAGCAUGCGGCUUCACACACGGACCCUAGGGUGCUGCGACUCUGAAUGAGCCAAGAAGACGCCAUCAGCUCGAUGAAGAGGCACUCAGUUGUUCAAAUGUGUCCAAUGAUCUGGAUGUUUGGCUUCUGAAAAUGAAACAUCUGGAGCAUGAAGUAAUGUUUUCACUUUUCAGCUAUAUUUUGGUAUUAUAUGG
Molecule: long non-coding RNA, 714 nt
Filed under: Equus caballus (horse)
Lineage: Eukaryota; Metazoa; Chordata; Mammalia; Perissodactyla; Equidae
Description: lncRNA (ENSECAG00000052893.1)
Source: RNAcentral